AGAUCCCACAAGCCUCGUGGCGACGACCCCAAACAAACAAAUAACAACGAAACCUUUCUUGAAACCAUUUCAGACUGCAUGAUUGUUGAUCUCUUUCUGGAGUGGACGGUUUAGCAUUUACCAGUCUGUGUCCUGAUCCCCGUGGCCAGGUUCUUCUGAAGCCUCUUCUUAACUAUACUUUGUCAACCUUGGCCCAUAAAGAUGUAAACAAAGACUAACAGCUUCUGGCAGCUGAAAGCAUAUUCACAGGAUGACCCUAGCCACCUGUUAAAGUGCCUACCUGAGAACACUCCAGGUUGUCAAAAAACUUAUUGUUUGUUUCCAUCCAACACCUGAGACACGGGCUCUGUCUCUUGGUCUCUGCAGGAGGGGAGGAGUCUUACUCUGAUAAGCCCUAGUUAGCAAACCUAUAUGAGUUUUACAGGGAUCAACCUCCUUUUGUGGGUUUUUUUUUUUUAAUUUCUCACUGCCCUAACCCUGCUGAGACACCCUCAUCCUCUUACCCAUUCCCUCGUUCUCCCUUUAAAGAGCCCCAUCACCUCUGUACAAAUGAAAGUUGAGUUCAGCUCACCCUGGACUCUUUUCCUAUUGUAAUAGUAUAUUACUGAUUAAAAUCUGUCCUGACCACUUUA
Odocoileus virginianus texanus is the source of this 632-nucleotide long non-coding RNA. RefSeq lists it as uncharacterized. The record is from RefSeq and is a predicted model, not a curated record. Lineage: Eukaryota; Metazoa; Chordata; Mammalia; Artiodactyla; Cervidae.